Ochotona curzoniae (black-lipped pika) is the source of this 493-nucleotide long non-coding RNA. RefSeq lists it as uncharacterized. The record is from RefSeq and is a predicted model, not a curated record. The transcript is spliced from 4 exons. NCBI's taxonomy places the organism in Eukaryota, Metazoa, Chordata, Mammalia, Lagomorpha, Ochotonidae.
AGCACUAAGUGUGCUGCAAGCAUUACACACAUUCAAAUGGAGCUGUCUUUGAGAUAUAUAGGAGUCUACAAGCUCAUUUCUUCUGGAAAAUGAUGGAUCGAGGGCCAGAACAGAAACUAAGGAGAAGAACCCAAGGAUUUGGAGGAAGGUUUAGCCUGAAAAGGGAGAAGUUGUGCCUUCCCCUCCCUGGUUCUCCUGUGUGCCCAGCAUCCAGUGAGCAGAAGAGAGGACAGCAUUUGUGAACUAGUCACGUGCAGUGAUUUCUUCAUCUUUCUUAACAGAUGUCGUGAUGGAAAUUCUGCCAGCCCUCUGCAAGUUGGUGUAUUUCGGGCUUCACCUGGGAGCCUCAGAUUUAAAGAGGUCAGUCUAGAAAGGACCACAGAUGCUGGCCUUGGCUUCCCAUUGAUGUUGUGACUGGAGGACACGCCUCUUCCACGGCCUCUGCUCAUGCUGUGUCAGUAUGUUAUGCAAUAGAUCUCAAGGCAUCUAAAAG